Molecule: ribosomal RNA, 459 nt
Filed under: uncultured bacterium
Lineage: Bacteria
Description: partial 16S ribosomal RNA
Rfam family: Bacterial small subunit ribosomal RNA
Source: RNAcentral
CCUACGGGAGGCAGCAGUGAGGAAUAUUGGUCAAUGGGCGCGAGCCUGAACCAGCCAAGUAGCGUGAGGGAUGACGGUCCUACGGAUUGUAAACUUCUUUUAUAGGGGAAUAAAAUGCGCCACGCGUGGCGUUUUGAGUGUACUUGAUGAAAAAGCAUCGGCUAACUCCGUGCCAGCAGCCGCGGUAAUACGGAGGAUGCGAGCGUUAUCCGGAUUUAUUGGGUUUAAAGGGUGCGUAGGGGGUAGAUCAAGUCAGUGGUAAAGUUGGGGGGCUCAACCUCAUCUAGCCAUUGAAACUGGUAGUCUUGAGUGAGGGAGAGGUAGGCGGAAUGCGUGGUGUAGCGGUGAAAUGCUUAGAUAUCACGCAGAACUCCGAUUGCGAAGGCAGCAUACUAACGCGCAACUGACACUCAUGCACGAAAGUGUGGGUAUCAAACAGGAUUAGAUACCCUAGUAGUC